RNAcentral lists this ribosomal RNA (433 nucleotides) under uncultured bacterium. RNAcentral describes it as "partial 16S ribosomal RNA". It matches the Rfam family "Bacterial small subunit ribosomal RNA", at positions 29 to 507 of the family's 1533-position model. The record is from RNAcentral.
AACGAACGCUGGCGGCAUGCCUAACACAUGCAAGUCGAACGAGACCUUCGGGUCUAGUGGCGCACGGGUGCGUAACGCGUGGGAACCUGCCCUUAGGUUCGGAAUAACUCCCCGAAAGGGGUGCUAAUACCGGAUAAUGUCUUCGGACCAAAGAUUUAUCGCCUUUGGAUGGGCCCGCGUUGGAUUAGCUAGUUGGUAGGGUAAAAGCCUACCAAGGCGACGAUCCAUAGCUGGUCUGAGAGGAUGAUCAGCCACACUGGGACUGAGACACGGCCCAGACUCCUAGGGGGGGCGGAGGGGGGAAAUAUUGAAAAAGGGGAGAAAGCUUGACCCAGCAAGCCCGGGGGAGGGAGGAAGGCCUAGGGGUUUAAAACUUUUUUCCCCGGGGAUGAUAAGAACAUACCGGGGAAAAAAGCCUCGGGCUACCCCCGUC